GAUGAAGAACGCAGCGAAAUGCGAUACGUAAUGUGAAUUGCAAAUUCAGUGAAUCAUCGAGUCUUUGAACGCACAUUGCGCCCCCUGGUAUUCCGGGGGGCAUGCCUGUCCGAGCGUCAUUGCUGCCCUCAAGCACGGCUUGUGUGUUGGGCCCCGUCCUCCGAUCCCGGGGGACGGGCCCGAAAGGCAGCGGCGGCACCGCGUCCGGUCCUCGAGCGUAUGGGGCUUUGUCACCCGCUCUGUAGGCCCGGCCGGCGCUUGCCGAUCAACCCAAAUUUUUUAUCCAGGUUGACCUCGGAUCAGGUAGGGAUACCCGCUGAACUCAAGCAUAUCAAUAAGCGGAGGA
This 346-nucleotide unclassified non-coding RNA is filed under the name soil metagenome. RNAcentral describes it as "partial contains 5.8S ribosomal RNA, internal transcribed spacer 2, and large subunit ribosomal RNA". The stretch from base 1 to 119 matches the Rfam family "5.8S ribosomal RNA", at positions 35 to 154 of the family's 154-position model. The record is from RNAcentral.